AAAGGCUCUGAAUCAGGGGAUAUGCCGUCCGGAUAUUUUUUAUGACAUGCAGCAUAUCAGGAACAAUUUUGAUCAUAUCUUGAGUUUUUAAGAAUCAGUGGAAAUAUGACUUAUUUCGACUCCUGAUUUGCUAAUCAGAAAUCAGGGGUGCGAUACUCAAAGCACAAGUCACGCACACAUGUCUGGAUUAAUAAGUCUAUCAUCCUUAGACAGGCUAUUAUGUUAGAUAUCCGAUUUUAUGAGUUUGGUAGUCAUUUUAAUGUAACAGUUUAAAAUAUGCCAACAGUAGGCUAUGUCUAAUUUCCACGAUUUCUUAAAAUAUAACGGAUGCUUAUCAGCAUGCGCACGCACUUCCCCACCCAACUGACUUUUAAAAUCCAACCACUGCUGCCGAGUCCGACUUCAGUUCAACCGUCAUUUUUCUGUCAUGUAUCUGAAGCUGUACAAACUCUGCCGUCUUCAUAUCCAAGAGACAGGCGGCUGACCCACGUCAAUACCGAAGUAAAUGCCAGGGAUCUUUAGUUUGUGAAAGGCGGUGAGUUGUGACGACUGCUGUCCUGAGACCAUUGAGUGCAGUCUGGAAUAUUCCAAAUGUGUGCCAGUUCCAUAAGAAAAAAGUUCCAAUUAAGAGUACACUCAUCAGGUAGAAACAGACACACACACACACACACACACGUAGUAUCACAUAUAGCAUUAUAAUAUGUGUGCAUGUAUUUGUGUCUGUUACUGUGGUUAGUUUAUCCCCUUUUUUCAUGUGUCUGUUUGUUGUUAUGACUGUGUAGUAGGCUCAAUAGUCCAGGACAAAGUCGGUCUGUCCUUCUACUACUACAUGCUACUUGACUUUGUCUGGAAGCCAUGGAUGCUGCCCUCAACAUGCUAAACCCUCACAAAUAAACUGAUAUCAAGAAUUAACAUUGAUGGUGAUGAUGGAAAGGCC
Long non-coding RNA from Sardina pilchardus (European sardine), 937 nucleotides. RefSeq lists it as uncharacterized. The record is from RefSeq and is a predicted model, not a curated record. NCBI's taxonomy places the organism in Eukaryota, Metazoa, Chordata, Actinopteri, Clupeiformes, Clupeidae. The transcript is spliced from 4 exons.